RNAcentral lists this ribosomal RNA (466 nucleotides) under uncultured bacterium. RNAcentral describes it as "partial 16S ribosomal RNA". It matches the Rfam family "Bacterial small subunit ribosomal RNA", at positions 339 to 795 of the family's 1533-position model. The record is from RNAcentral.
CUACGGGCUGCAGCAGUGGGGAAUAUUGGACAAUGGGGGAAACAAUGAGACAGCAAUGCCGCGUGUGUGAAGCCUUCCUGCGGGUUGUAACUCCCUUCCCGGGGGGAGGAAUGAUUCUAGCACUAAUAUUGUUGGAAGUUGACGUUACCUUCAGAAGAAGCACCGGCUAACUCCGUGCCAGAAGCCGCGGGUAAUACGGAGGGUGCAAGCGUUAAUCGGAAUUACUGGGCGUAAAGCGCGCGUAGGCGGCUAGAUCAGUCGGGUGUGAAAGCCCCGGGCUUAACCUGGGAACUGCAUCCGAUACUGUCUAGCUUGAGUACAGGAGAGGAGAGUGGAAUUCCACAUGUAGCGGUGAAAUGCGUAGAUAUGUGGAGGAACACCAAUGGCGAAGGCAGCUCUCUGGCCUGAUACUGACGCUGAGGUGAGAAAGCGUGGGGAGCAAACAGGAUUAGAUACCCGUGUAGUC